CCUACGGGUGGCAGCAGUGGGGAAUCUUCCGCAAUGGGCGAAAGCCUGACGGAGCAACGCCGCGUGAUCGAAUGAAGGCCUUCGGGUUGUAAAGAUCUGUUGACAGGGACGAAUAAGCCAUGCGAAUAGUUUGGUGUAUGACGGUACCUGUUUAGAAAGCUCCGGCUAACUACGUGCCAGCAGCCGCGGUAAUACGUAGGGAGCAAGCGUUAUCCGGAUUUACUGGGUGUAAAGGGAGCGUAGACGGCAGUGCAAGUCCGGAGGGAAAGCCCGGGGCUCAACCCUGGGACUGCUCUGGAAACUGUAAAGCUGGAGUGCGGGAGGGGCAGGCGGAAUUCCUGGUGUAGCGGUGAAAUGCGUAGAUAUCAGGAGGAACACCGGCGGCGAAGGCGGCCUGCUGGACCGUAACUGACGUUGAGGCUCGAAAGCGUGGGGAGCAAACAGGAUUAGAUACCCCAGUAGUC
RNAcentral lists this ribosomal RNA (464 nucleotides) under uncultured bacterium. RNAcentral's name for it is "partial 16S ribosomal RNA". It matches the Rfam family "Bacterial small subunit ribosomal RNA", at positions 338 to 795 of the family's 1533-position model. The record is from RNAcentral.